This is a long non-coding RNA of Pseudopipra pipra, 5118 nucleotides long. RefSeq lists it as uncharacterized. The record is from RefSeq and is a predicted model, not a curated record. The transcript has 2 exons. NCBI's taxonomy places the organism in Eukaryota, Metazoa, Chordata, Aves, Passeriformes, Pipridae.
CUGAAAUGUUCAGACUUGAGUUCUAUGAACUGUGUUGUCAUUUUGUGUUGUGACACUGUGUUAUCACUCUAAUUCUGACAGCAGGAUUUUACAAACUGCCAUGAGUUCUGAACAAAAGGAAAAGUGUAUGUAUGCAACAAUUUUCAGUGGAUCGGAAAACCAGGAGACAUUAGUUUGUUAUUAUAACUUGACCUAAGAGGAGAAGAGGUGCAUAUGUAUGAGCAUGCAGAUAUUUGAUAAGUUGAUAUCUUUCCCAGAAAGCUUGAAAGUGGUGAUUUUUGCAACAUUUCAAAUUGAUUAGGGGAUGUUGGGGUUUUUUUCCUACUCAGAUUCAUGAAGGAAUGACACAAAAAUUAAGAGCUAUUUUUAAAAUCAGACUUUGAUAUGUAGAAAGUAAUAAAUGGGAGGAAAGUGGUAGCAAAAGUCAGAUCCAGUGAAUAGUGAGAAACUGGACACAAUUCUGCCAAAUGUCUGUGAAUUGAUGCCCAAGACUGAAAUUCUGACACCUUAAACAGUUCUUUUAAACAUGGCCAUGACUAAAGCAGGCUAUUUCUAGCCUUAAAAUCUUACUACAAAAGCAGAGCUGUGGUUUUCUUCAGAGAUUUUUGUAAAUUCUUGCUGCAGGGAGGCUAGGUAGCAGGGAAACAGCUUUCUAGGGGGAGCUGAGAGGGGUGAUUCUACUUUUUGUCCGGCAAUAAUUCUGAUCUAAAGGAAUAAGAAAGCAUUGAAAAUUUUAUUUAAACCUCAGAAAUUGUAUUUAACAUGGGAUGGGCAUUUAUAGUUUAGCAGUCUGUUUAUCUGAAGCUGUAUGACUUUGUCCUGACUGCGAAGGUUCCCAAGACAUGUUGUUCAGUUUACUGUGUGUUUUGAGAGACAGAAAAUGUGAAAGAAUUUAUGUAUAUGCACAUAAAUAGAUAUAUAUAUAUUUAAUGUAUAUAUAUACAUUAUAUAUAUAAUGUAUAUAUAAUGUACAUGCAUACAGACUGUAUACAUAUUUCAGUUUAUUGUGUGCACAGAAUAUCAUGCUCUCACGCUCAGGAACACAGCGUGGGCCACAGCCCAGGGCCCCAGCUGGCCUUGGCCUUUGGCUGGUUUUGUGCAGCACUGUUGCCUGACCUUGGCUCACUGUCACUGAGAAGGCUGUCACUGAGCUCUGAGAGUCUGUAAACUGAAACCGUGUAAGAUAAGAAAAGUAAAAACAGGCAGAACUGAAUGUGCUGAGCUGGGAAGACUGUCUUGGGAACUGGGGACAAACACUGACAUGGAAUCUAUAAAACCUGAGGGAGAAAUCAGAGACGUAGAAGAUGGCAUCUCUGCAACUAUGAGGACUUGUACUGAAGUACUGGGGUAUUUUGACAUGACUGAAAUGCUUUUCUUAUCAAAUAUAAAGUCUGCAACACCAAUAAAAAGUAAGAGAAAUCACCUCAUAUGCUUUUCUCUUCUCUCCCCCACUCUCUUUUCCUUUUCCACAUUUUUCCUGCACUGAUCCUCAUCUCGUCAGCUCCCUCUGGCCCAUCUGAAAUAUGCUUCUCUGAUCAGCCUCUGGUCAAAAGUGCCUCUUGAUACCUUUUACCACUCUGCUCUUGUUUCACUCCAUGAAAUCAAGUGAAUCAUAUAAACCCCCAAGGCGCACUUGGCAUGUGGUUCUGUUGUCUCCAGUGUCCACACUGGGAUGGUGGUGUGGCCCUGGAGAGCUGCAGUGACCAGCCAGCCCUUUGCACUGCCACGCAGGUGCCCAGCUUGGCAGCGGGGCUGGAGGGGUGAGAACAACAUUCCCAGCCCCAAUGUGAGUAUCUGGGGUUGGGGUAGGGACUAAGGGCCCGAGAGGCUUUGCACUUUACACAGGCACCCAGGUGAAAAUAACUUUGUUUCUAAAUCACAGCAGGCACUGGGGCUGCUAGGCCCUGGCAGAGGUUCCCCCUUGCUGUCAGAGCCAAAGCCAGCAGCUGUCUCCAUAAGCACAGUAUGUUUCAUAUAUGGCAGACUCUCAGCUGCCUUCAGAUCCCUCUGAUUAAAGAAAUCACCUUGUUCUGGGAGUGUCUAGUGUGCCAUCUGGGACGUGCUCUGCAGCUCCUCAGACCAAACUGGAGAAGCUGUGUUUCCUUGUCUCUCAUGUUUUUCAUAAUAGUCUCCUUCCUACCAGCACCAUAUUUCUUGUUGCCAAUCUUUUCAUCUCAUUUCUGCUACCAGGUGGUUAAGCAAGCAGAAGGACAUUGGACAAAAGGGACUACCUGGACAAUUUAAGCUGGACUGCAAGUAUACAUUGGUUCCAUCCAUUUUAAUUUGGGGGGAGUUUGUGGUUGGUUGGGUUUGUUAUUUGUUGAUUGUUUUAUUUGUGUUUUUUUUAAUAAAUUAAGAUGCAAACAUAAAAUGGUUGGCAGUUUAGCUGUCCUUGAAAUGUCAGGUCUGAGAACCAUAUUUGGAAUGAGAUUUAUCCAUUUUGGCAUAUAGUGAAAGUUACAGUGAGAAAUUAUGUUAGUGCCAGGUCUCCAAAGCUACAAAGUGUGAACUAGAUAUAGACAAAAGGUGGAAAAAUGUAUCCCAUGAACUAACCAGCCCCUUGAUUAAAUCACUCAGGAACCUGUACAAGUAGGAUUUCAUACAGAAGGAAGAGAUGAAGGUGCACAGGAAAAAAGACUUUCUAGUCACACUGUGAGCUCCUGCUCUGUAGCAGCUGCUGCUGCCCAAACUCCCCUAAGAAAACCAGUCUCUGCUGUAAGCUGAUGGCAGAAAUGUUGUUGCAUGGUGUACAGUAGCAUUUACUAAACAGGCAAGAGAUACAUUUUGGAAAGAGACUCUCAGCAGUCUAUCAACUGGAAAAUAAAUUAUCUUUUUCUGCAGCCCACUCCAUUAUACCCCACUGCCCUUAGUUGCCUCCUCUGAACUUGGAUUCACUACAUUUCCAGGCACAUCUGGGCUUAGAGAACAUAUUAUGUAGCACAAGGGAGAGCAGGUGGUCCUGUGCAGCCCUGUUUGUGUUCAGCCUAAUCUGAGAGAUUGGCUUUUGGAGGAGGGGCAGAGAUCUGGGGGCAUAUAUGCAAUUCAUCAUCACUGUUUCCAGCUGAAUGUGAGAAACUGCUACACCUGCUGCUCUGCUUCUGAUGGGCUUUGAAAUAUAGGCAGGCUGAAGGACGUGUGAGUUUUUCUUUCAUGAUAACAAAAAUAAGCACUUUGUUCUGGUAUCUGUAAAGUUAAGGCAGUUUCCUACAAGCAGCGAUAAUUCAAGAGCAGUUUCUGGCUUGUGAUUGACACAUGAAAAGGAAGAGUAUUUUUGGAAACGCUGGUUGAUUUUAUUAUUAAAAAAAAAAAGGAAAGAAAAUCACUGCUAAUUUUCAGUUUGCUGAGUCUUUUAAUACAUAAUUUCAACACACUGAAUUAUCAGACAGAAGAGAAGUAAUUCAUUGCUGUGAGAUAAAACCAUCAGUAUAAAGUAACUGCUAGAAAUCUUCAUCGUGCCCUAGAAAAGAGUCCAGGUGCUUCUAUGCCACAAGAAGUUUAAACAAUGUUCAGCUGUGAACUAGGACCCAGAAUAAGGAUGCAAAGCAAAUGCCUGUUGACAUAGACAACCUGUCCCAGGGGAAUGAGAGUGCAUUAGAGGACUGGGAAGAUCCCUAAAACCAAACUGCAGGUAUGGGUGCCCUGAUGGGAAGCAGACCAAACAUACAGUAGCUUGGAGGCUGUGUUGGAAGAUACAAGCUGUAAAUGCACUUUCUGUGUUUGCCAGACACUUUUAGAGAAAACUGGGAAGAUUCAGUCCGAACUCAUGAAAGAUUUUUGCAAAUCUGCAGAUGCCAAGCCUGAGUUUGAGGUCCAGGAGAGGCCAAGUUCCACCUGUGUGGUUGUUGCUGCAGCAGUACUAAUGCAUCCUCCCAAGUGCAGAAAUUGGGGAAUUUUGCUGCCCUGCUGUGGGGAGCAGGUGGGUUCGUGCAGGGGUAAAAGAGCUACUCCAAGAAGUGACUCUGUCCAAACGUGAACAUGAACAGAACAUCAUGCUUUCCAAAGCAAUUACAAUUCUCAUUCACUCUUUCCAUCUCCCUCAUGCUUGCUGUGUGUAAUGAAGCUGAAAGACAACAAGGGACAUGGUCACUGGAGAUACUUGUCAAGCCUGUGACUGAAGCUACUGAAGUUCUCUACUGAUAUGCCACGUGAAAGCUUGGGUAAAGAAGUGCUACACUUCCAAAGUCAAACAUUCAGUUACUAAGAAAUAACCAAGUCAUAUCUUCCAAGGCAGCCUUAGCUCAAUUUUCCUAUUUAUGCACAUUAUAAUAUAGUAUUUAAUUAUGUCACCACAGAUAAGUUAUUCCUGAAAUUUCCUCCUAAUAACUUCUCUGAGCAUUUGUGUAUCUAUGUAGCUCUUAGAGCUGGGCCUUUAUUUCUCCCAGAAAGCACUGUAUUAGAACCCAGCAGAGAGAGAUUUGAUCUAAACUCUUGAUUUCCUAAAGUCUCAGAGACAAAGUCAACCUGGCAUGACAGCCCUUAGUGAGGAGAGCUGGGGGCUUGGCCCACAAAGUACAAAGUGGAGCUAUGUGUCUGUCUGUCCCAUCCACUUCUCCCUUACAUUUUGCUAGAAGUACAGUGACCAAAGUGAUGGCUUAGUGCCUCCCCAGCAAUUCAGCCCCACCACUUGCUGAUUAACCAAAAACCCCUUGCCCAGCUGGAAGAGUCCAUCCAUGCUAGCUGAGGAUUGAAGGUUUUGUUUUGCUCUAGAGAAAGGAAAACUGCUGUGUGGUUUUAAAUCCUUUCACAGAGGAAGGGUAUAGAGCAGGUGGCCAAAAAUGCUAAGGAGGACUUUGGACUCAGGCUAUGGCUGGUCUGAGACUGGGAGGUGUCAGGAAACACCUUGCAAAACACUGAGAGUAAGAGUGGACAGCAGCUCUGCAAUUUUCAUUUUCCUUUCGGCAGUAGCUAAUUAGUCUCUGUGUAGGGAACAGGUUCCCGGUGAAAAGCAAAGCCCUGCACUGGCUGUUACCAGGCAAUUAUUCAUUGCCAUUCAAGCAAUUAUUGCUGCCUCUGGGACAGCAGCUACUUUCUACUUUGAGAAACACCGGAGACAACUUUCCAUUAAGCAGUCACUCUUGUUUACAGGAAAAUGCACAAAUAAAUAAUAGAAAUAAUCUA